AGCCAUUGAGUACGAAAUAACAAGUAGAAGAUCAAAACUCUUAUCGAAGAUCAUCCCAUUCAGAGAAAGAGGCGCAGGAAAAUCGACCGCAGCAUGAUCGGCGAGCCCACAAACUUUGUCCACUUGACACACAUUGGCUCUGGGGAGAUGGCAGAGGGCCGGGCCCCGUCAGGGCCGGUCCAGGAUAAGAUGAGGUCGAAAGGACCCAGUGCCAACGGCCGCAGGAGCAUGUUAUAGCUGCUGCCUACCAAGCAUGGAGAACCAUUUCCAUCCUCUAUGCGCCCCUCUCAUCCCAAAUCAAAAGCAGUCACUGCAGCGUAACCUGUUUCUAAUGGAGCACUUGGCAAACCUGAGAGCGGACCCUAAUAGAGAGCAGAGAGGCUCUUCCUGACGUCUGCAGGAUCGAUUUAGCCAAACAGGACGAUGCCCUUUCUGUGGUCACCACAAGAAUCGCCCUGCUCAGAGGAGGAUGGACUGAUGUUUUUGAUGCUUUUUAAAGAAAAGUAUUUGUCUUUCUGAUGGACUUUGGACUUCCACUGUAUUUCAGCCAACAACGUUUCUGUGUCAUGGCCAGCAAGCGUGUGUGAGAGUGUUUAGCAAAAUUUGUUGACUAACAUGGCUGAUUCCAUUUCAGGAAGUGAAGAUUGUUCUCAAGGAUCACCUGAAUGUUGUAAACCAUUGACCUACUGCCAAACAAAUAGUAUCCAAAAUAUCUUGCGUAUCUGUCUAAUGAAUGAGGAUGCACUUUUAUUUUCCCACAGUGCAUAGUUAAAGGUGUCUUUGUGUGUGUUUAUAAGUGCAAAAUGCUAUGUGAUUUUGUUGCUGUUUAGAUGCCAGUACUGAGUAGUGUUAUUUUGAUUGUACCAGUUGCCAUAGAGCCCCAUUUGGACUGCUACCCAGUUGCCAUAGAACCCCAUUUGGACUGCUACCCAGUUGCCAUAGAACCCCAUUUGGACUGCUACCCAGUUGCCAUAGAACCCCAUUUGGACUGCUACCCAGUUGCCAUAGAACCCCAUUUGGACUGCUACCCAGUUGCAAGCAUACAGAUAACUGCCAAAAUAAAGGAAACCCCAAUAUAGUGUCUUAAUAAGGUAUUGGGCACCACGAGCCAGAACAGCUUUAAUGCACCUUGGCAUAGAUUCUACAAGUGUCUGGAACUCAAUUGGAGGGAUGCGACACCAUCCCUCCAUGAGAAAUUAAAUAAUCUGGUGUUUUGUUGAUGGUGGUGGAAAACGCUGUCUCAGGCUCCGCUCCAGAAUCUCCUAUAAGUGUUCAAUUGGGUUGAGAUCUGGUGACUGAGACGGCCAUGGCAUAUGGUUUACAUCCUUUUCAUGCUCAUCAAACCAUUGUGGCCACUUGUGCCCAGUGGAUGGGUCAUUGUAAUCCUGGAAGAGACCACUCCCAUCGGGGUAGAUCUGUUUCACCCUACAGUAGGUAGAAGGUGAUCACUCAGAAUGGCUGUGUAUUUAUUGGAGUUUACCUUGUCCUCCAUGGGGUUGAGUGGACCUAAACCAUGCCAGGAAAAUGCACCUCCACACCAUAACAGAGCUGCCAAUAAGUACCCUCAUUUACUCAAGUGUUUCCUUUUAUUUUAGCAGUUCCCUGUAGCUGGUCACUGUGAUACACAAUUUACUAGCACCUACUCUGAAAAACCCAAACUAUUAGUCAGCGGGAAGAGUCUGUUAGUAACACGGGUUGUUGUUGAAAUUCGAAACACCCUGACCAUUACGGGGCUUUCCAGUGAUCUAUCCUGGAAUUAUGCCACUCAUUAAAUCAACUGCAUCGAAGGAACAUUCCAGAAGGUAGUUUGUUCUCUUGUCGGGGGGGAGGGGGAUGUCCACCCCAUUGAUCAGAAUGGAAAAUUCCAACCAUUUCACUGUGCAUUCCCCUUGUAAUUUCUAUAUGGCCUCCCACUUGAGCUUGUUGUAGGUGACGUGCCCUCCAAGCUGGCUUGUGACCCACAUGACAUCCACACGAUAGUGACAUACAUUCUGAAACCAGGUGGCAGUUUUAAACAUCUGAUUUAAAUCAUACAGUAGAAAUGAAAGUUUGUUUCCUGUACACAACUGUAUUUCUGACGUGCUUAGUAUACACAAUCUGUGAAUAACUCGUCACUCUCUGUAGUUUUUUUGCUAAGUGUGUCCAUACGGGGGAAAAUUCACCGUUUGAAUUGGAAUGUUUUUUUAAUAUUGUAUCUUAUUUGAUUUAGCUAGGCCAGUAUCCUAUGUGAUUUAGCUAGGCCAGUAUCCUAUACCAGAACAUAUGGCGUAUGGAUGGUGUAGAACAUGUACAGUAUGUUGUCCCUUUCACUAAUACCGUAUGUGUUUUAUACACUGGGCCUAAUGUUUACUUAAUGCUGAAGGGUGACUUUGCAUAUUGCUUGGUGGCUUUCCUAUCUUUGUUAGAGCAUGUAAUCCUGGGUAAAUUCUCAGCCUAACAGAAUGACUGCUGCCUUGAAGUUUCUUGAACAGUGUACAUUGGGAACGUCAGUCAUUUGAGUCUGUUGGCAUUUUAAGUUUCUAUCCCAUCUUUAUCAUGAUUGUUGUUAGACCAAAGCUUGAGUUCAUUAGAAAUGAUUUGUGCAACCUCUUGAUUCUUCCUGGAAAUACAGUUCACAUUCUGAAUAGAAUUCUGGGGGAGUAAUCUCUUCUGAUGUUGAAUGUUAUCACCAAAUGUGUUACUCAAUUUUCACUGCCUGGUACAGAAAUAAUAGAAUUUCAACCAACUGGUUUCAGUGGCCCCUAUGGGCUCUGCUGUGAACAUUUCUGGGAGAUUGUAUCAUUUUCAUUGAAGUUAAAGUGGGAAUCUAUAGUUGCUACAUCCAUUUUGGGAUUUAUAAAUUAUAUAUACCCAUUGAUUCUUGAAUAUCUCAUAAAUGCCUUAGUUCAACUAUAUUGUUGAUAUCAUGGAUGUUCAGUCCUUGCAUUAGUAGCUCUAUGAGUUUGAGAGCGGUUACAUUUCUCCAGGCCCAUUCUUCAGCAUUUUACCAAAACACAGGCAGGGUGACUGCUUUGUCAUUGUUUCAAUUAAGGAUUCUAGCUUUAAUCUCAAACUACUUCAACAAACACAUCUCACUGAAUCCAUCUGGUAUAGCACAAAUAUUGCAAUCUAAACAAAUGCCCUAAAAUAAAU
Molecule: long non-coding RNA, 3132 nt
Filed under: Salmo salar (Atlantic salmon)
Lineage: Eukaryota; Metazoa; Chordata; Actinopteri; Salmoniformes; Salmonidae
Description: lncRNA (ENSSSAG00000082913.1)
Source: RNAcentral